This 52-nucleotide small RNA is filed under the name Arabidopsis thaliana (thale cress). RNAcentral's name for it is "ATSL148410". Lineage: Eukaryota; Viridiplantae; Streptophyta; Magnoliopsida; Brassicales; Brassicaceae. The record is from RNAcentral.
CAAGAAGACGACGACGAAGAAGAGGAAGAAGAAGAAGACGAUUACAACCACA